UAGCGAAAGCGAAUCCUAAUGAGGGUGUUGUCAGUGGCAUGUUCUGGACCCGAAGCGGGGUGAUCUACCCAUGGCCAGUGUGAAGCAGCUGUAAGAGGUUGUGGAGGCGCGAACCCACUUAGGUUGAAAACUGAGGGGAUGAGCUGUGGGUAGGGGUGAAAGGCCAAUCAAACUCCGUGAUAGCUGGUUCUCCCCGAAAUGCAUUUAGGUGCAGCGUUGUGUGUUUCUUGCUGGAGGUAGAGCUACUGGUUGGUUGAGCGGGACUACAAUCUUAGCAAUGUCAGCCAAACUCCGAAUGCCGGUAAUGUUAAGCAUGGCAGUGAGACUGCGGGGGAUAAGCUCCGUUGGUCGAGAGGGAAACAGCCCAGAUCGCCGGUUAAGGCCCCUAAGGGUGUACUAAGUGGAAAAGGAUGUGGGAUCGCGAAGACAGCCAGGAGGUUGGCUUAGAAGCAGCCAUCCUUGAAAGAGUGCGUAAUAGCUCACUGGUCGAGUGGUUCUGCGCCGACAAUGUAGUGGGGCUCAAGUACACCGCCGAAGCCGCGGCAGUCAGCAUUUUUUGUUGGUUGGGUAGGGGAGCGUCGUGCACUGCUGUGAAGCACCUGGGUGACUUGAUGGUGUGGAGUGUGUGCGAGUGAGAAUGCAGGCAUGAGUAACGAAUGAAAAGUGGAAAACUUUUCCGCCGGAUGACUAAGGGUUCCUGGGUUAAGCUAAUCUUCCCAGGGUGAGUCGGGACCUAAGGCGAGGCCGACAGGCGUAGUCGAUGGAUAACCAGUUGAUAUUCUGGUACCCGUGUAUGUGCGCCCAGUGGUGAAUCAGUGGUACUAACCAUCCAUGGAUCUUCUGGUCAUGCUUUUUGUGUGGUUGGUGGUGAUGUGCGUGGGAUCUUCGUUGGUAGUAGCCAAGUGAUGGGGUGACGCAGUGAGGUAGCUGAGCCAUGUAGUGGAUUGUGGUGUAAGCGUGUGGCCCGUGGCAUAGGUAAAUCCGUGUCGCAUAGUGGGUGAGGCGUGAUGCGUAGACCUUUGUGGUUGAUGUUGGUGAUCCUGUACUGUCGAGAAAAGCCUCUAGCGAGUGCAUAUAUGGCCCGUACCCAUAACCGACACAGGUGGUCAGGUAGAGAAUACUAAGGCGAUCGGGUGAACUGUGGUUAAGGAACUCGGCAAAUUGCCCCCGUAACUUCGGGAGAAGGGGGACCAUUGCUGGUGACCGACGUGGUUGAGCUGGUGGUGGUCGCAGAGAAUAGAGGGAAGCGACUGUUUAUUAAAAACACAGGUCCGUGCGAAAACGUGGAAGUUGAUGUAUACGGACUGACGCCUGCCCGGUGCUGGAAGGUUAAGAGGACCUGUUAGGGCAUUGUUGUCCGAAGCGGAGAAUUUAAGCCCCAGUAAACGGCGGUGGUAACUAUAACCAUCCUAAGGUAGCGAAAUUCCUUGUCGGGUAAGUUCCGACCUGCACGAAUGGCGUAACGACUUCCCUGCUGUCUCAACCACAGGCCCGGUGAAAUUGCAGUACGAGUAAAGAUGCUCGUUACGCGCGGCAGGACGAAAAGACCCCGGGACCUUCACUAUAGCUUGGUAUUGGUGUUUGGUUCGGUUUGUGUAGGAUAGGUGGGAGACUGUGAAGUGGUCACGCUAGUGGUUGUGGAGUCGGAAGUUGAAAUACCACUCUGAUCGGAUUGAGCACCUUAACCUUGGCCCAUGAUCUGGGUUGGGGACAGUGCCUGGUGGGUAGUUUAACUGGGGCGGUUGCCUCCUAAAAUGUAACGGAGGCGCCCAAAGGUUCCCUCAGCCUGGUUGGCAAUCAGGUGGUGAGUGUAAGUGCACAAGGGAGCUUGACUGUGAGACUGACAGGUCGAGCAGGGACGAAAGUCGGGACUAGUGAUCCGGCAUCUACUUGUGGAAGUGGUGUCGCUCAACGGAUAAAAGGUACCCCGGGGAUAACAGGCUGAUCUUCCCCAAGAGUCCAUAUCGACGGGAUGGUUUGGCACCUCGAUGUCGGCUCGUCGCAUCCUGGGGCUGGAGUAGGUCCCAAGGGUUGGGCUGUUCGCCCAUUAAAGCGGCACGCGAGCUGGGUUUAGAACGUCGUGAGACAGUUCGGUCUCUAUCCGCCGCGCGCGUUGAAACUUGAAGAAGGCUGUCCCUAGUACGAGAGGACCGGGACGGACGUACCUCUAGUGUGCCAGUUGUCACGCCAGUGGCAGGGCUGGUUGGCUACGUACGGGAGGGAUAACCGCUGAAAGCAUCUAAGCGGGAAGCCUGUUUUGAGAUGAGGUUUCUUUUGAGGUUCCCUCUAGACUAGGGGGUUGAUAGGCCAGAUCUGGAAGCGUAGUAAUGCGUUAAGGUGACUGGUACUAAUAUGACCGAGUAAUAACAUUGU
RNAcentral lists this ribosomal RNA (2373 nucleotides) under Corynebacterium belfantii. Its description in RNAcentral is "partial 23S ribosomal RNA". It matches the Rfam family "Bacterial large subunit ribosomal RNA", at positions 669 to 2925 of the family's 2925-position model. Lineage: Bacteria; Bacillati; Actinomycetota; Actinomycetes; Mycobacteriales; Corynebacteriaceae. The record is from RNAcentral.